GUGCCAGCCGCCGCGGUAAUACCGGCAGCCCAAGUGAUGGCCGAUCUUAUUGGGCCUAAAGCGUCCGUAGCUGGCCACGCAAGUCCAUCGGAAAAUCCACCCGCCCAACGGGUGGGCGUCCGGUGGAAACUGUGUGGCUUGGGACCGGAAGACCAGAGGGGUACGUCCGGGGUAGGAGUGAAAUCCCGUAAUCCUGGACGGACCACCGGUGGCGAAAGCGCCUCUGGAAGACGGAUCCGACGGUGAGGGACGAAAGCUCGGGUCACGAACCGGAUUAGAUACCCCAGUAGUCC
Molecule: ribosomal RNA, 293 nt
Filed under: uncultured prokaryote
Description: partial 16S ribosomal RNA
Rfam family: Archaeal small subunit ribosomal RNA
Source: RNAcentral